UACGUAGGGUGCAAGCGUUGUCCGAAAUUAUUGGGCGUAAAGAGCUCGUAGGCGGUCUGUCACGUCGGCUGUGAAAUCCCGAGGCUCAACCUCGGGUCUGCAGUCGAUACGGGCAAACUAGAGUAUUGCAGGGGAGACUGGAAUUCCUGGUGUAGCGGUGAAAUGCGCAGAUAUCAGGAGGAACACCGGUGGCGAAGGCGGGUCUCUGGGCAAUAACUGACGCUGAGGAGCGAAAGCGUGGGGAGCGAACAGG
Molecule: ribosomal RNA, 253 nt
Filed under: uncultured bacterium
Lineage: Bacteria
Description: partial 16S ribosomal RNA
Rfam family: Bacterial small subunit ribosomal RNA
Source: RNAcentral